RNAcentral lists this transfer RNA (73 nucleotides) under Monodelphis domestica (gray short-tailed opossum). It matches the Rfam family "tRNA". From Rfam's summary of the family: Transfer RNA (tRNA) molecules are approximately 80 nucleotides in length. Their secondary structure includes four short double-helical elements and three loops (D, anti-codon, and T loops). The record is from Rfam by way of RNAcentral. Lineage: Eukaryota; Metazoa; Chordata; Mammalia; Didelphimorphia; Didelphidae.
GGCUAGGUGUUUCAGUAGGUAGAAUGCUAGACUUGGAAUCAGGAAGAUCCAAGUUCAAAUCUUGCCUUAGAUU